RNAcentral lists this ribosomal RNA (499 nucleotides) under uncultured endophytic bacterium. Its description in RNAcentral is "bacterial SSU rRNA". It matches the Rfam family "Bacterial small subunit ribosomal RNA", at positions 8 to 524 of the family's 1533-position model. The record is from RNAcentral.
AGAGUUUGAUCCUGGCUCAGGACGAACGCUGGCGGCGUGCUUAACACAUGCAAGUCGAGCGGUAAGGCCUUUCGGGGUACACGAGCGGCGAACGGGUGAGUAACACGUGGGUGAUCUGCCCUGCACUUCGGGAUAAGCCUGGGAAACUGGGUCUAAUACCGGAUAUGACCUCCUAUCGCAUGGUGGGUGGUGGAAAGAUUUAUCGGUGCAGGAUGGGCCCGCGGCCUAUCAGCUUGUUGGUGGGGUAAUGGCCUACCAAGGCGACGACGGGUAGCCGACUUGAGAGGACGACCAGCCACACUGGGACUGAGACACGGCCCAGACUCCUACGGGAGGCAGCAGUGGGGAAUAUUGCACAAUGGGCGAAAGCCUGAUGCAGCGACGCCGCGUGAGGGAUGACGGCCUUCGGGUUGUAAACCUCUUUCAGCAGGGACGAAGCGCAAGUGACGGUACCUGCAGAAGAAGCACCGGCUAACUACGUGCCAGCAGCCGCGGUAAU